RNAcentral lists this ribosomal RNA (271 nucleotides) under uncultured archaeon. Its description in RNAcentral is "partial 16S ribosomal RNA". It matches the Rfam family "Archaeal small subunit ribosomal RNA", at positions 477 to 747 of the family's 1478-position model. The record is from RNAcentral.
CGGCAGCCCGAGUGGUGAUCACUAUUAUUGGGUCUAAAGGGUCCGUAGCCGGUUUGAUCAGUCUUUUGGGAAAUCUGACAGCUUAACUGUUAGGCUUCCAAAGGAUACUGUCAGACUUGGGACCGGGAGAGGUAAGAGGUACUACAGGGGUAGGAGUGAAAUCUUGUAAUCCCUGUGGGACCACCAGUGGCGAAGGCGUCUUACCAGAACGGGUCCGACGGUGAGGGACGAAAGCUGGGGGCACGAACCGGAUUAGAUACCCGUGUAGUCC